GACGAACCGGAGCGAACGUUGUUCGGAAUCACUGGGCUUAAAAGGGCGCGUAGGCGGGCUGCCGCGGUCCGGGGUCGAAAUCCUCCGGCUCAACCGGAGAACGGCCCCGGGUACGGGCGGCCUCGAGGGGGAUAGGGGCGUGCGGAACUGUGGGUGGAGCGGGUGAAAUGGCGUUGAGUAUACCACAGGAACUCCGGUGGCG
RNAcentral lists this ribosomal RNA (202 nucleotides) under uncultured bacterium. Its description in RNAcentral is "partial 16S ribosomal RNA". It matches the Rfam family "Bacterial small subunit ribosomal RNA", at positions 524 to 717 of the family's 1533-position model. The record is from RNAcentral.